GAGACAAAAUAAUUCAAGACUCUACAAUUAGGCAUUGCAAUUUUAAUUACAUUGUAAAUUAGUAGUCUAGAAAGCUUUUAUUAAACUUGAGCACAUUGGACCAUUGUUGGCAAAUAUUUAUGAUGGGCCCAAGUUGUAGGACACUUGGCAACUUUAGGGUUUUUGGGUGGACCCCACCCAACCUUAAAUGAGGACACAUGGCCCUAGGGAUUCCAAGAUUCCACUAACCAACAUUUUCUAGGGAAGCAGCCGUCACACUUGGACACAUUCAUUUUCUCGGUAGAAAAAUUUUAGGGGCUGUAACGUUUUUUUUCUCUAGGCUGGGAACAUGGUCUCGGUAAUGGGAAUUGGAUGAGUGAAAGGGAUUUUUUCUUUUCUUUUAUGGUUGAAUGAAGCACUUUUAUUUUUUUUUAUUUUAUUUAUGGAGCCUUGUAUUACUUCUCUUUGCUGGAACGUGAAUCAAGCUUGGGAGUGUUGGUUUCUCUCUUUUAAAUGAAUGCAAAGUACCGGCCUUGAUGCAAGUUUAAUUUUUUUNN
This 536-nucleotide long non-coding RNA is filed under the name Vigna radiata. RNAcentral's name for it is "long non-coding RNA (VRAD_LNC000618)". The record is from RNAcentral. Lineage: Eukaryota; Viridiplantae; Streptophyta; Magnoliopsida; Fabales; Fabaceae.